GGUUAAGCGACUAAGCGUACACGGUGGAUGCCCUGGCAGUCAGAGGCGAUGAAGGACGUGCUAAUCUGCGAUAAGCGCCGGUAAGGUGAUAUGAACCGUUAUAACCGGCGGUUUCCGAAUGGGGAAACCCAGUGUGACUCGUCACACUAUCAUUAACUGAAUCCAUAGGUUAAUGAGGCGAACCGGGGGAACUGAAACAUCUAAGUACCCCGAGGAAAAGAAAUCAACCGAGAUUCCCCCAGUAGCGGCGAGCGAACGGGGAGGAGCCCAGAGCCUGAAUCAGCAUGUGUGUUAGUGGAAGCGUCUGGAAAGGCGCGCGAUACAGGGUGACAGCCCCGUACACAAAAGCGCAUGUGCUGUGAGCUCGAUGAGUAGGGCGGGACACGUGGUAUCCUGUCUGAAUAUGGGGGGACCAUCCUCCAAGGCUAAAUACUCCUGACUGACCGAUAGUGAACCAGUACCGUGAGGGAAAGGCGAAAAGAACCCCGGCGAGGGGAGUGAAAAAGAACCUGAAACCGUGUACGUACAAGCAGUGGGAGCACAGGUUUACCUGUGUGACUGCGUACCUUUUGUAUAAUGGGUCAGCGACUUAUAUUCUGUAGCAAGGUUAACCGAAUAGGGGAGCCGGAGGGAAACCGAGUCUUAAUUGGGCGUUAAGUUGCAGGGUAUAGACCCGAAACCCGGUGAUCUAGCCAUGGGCAGGUUGAAGGUUGGGUAACACUAACUGGAGGACCGAACCGACUAAUGUUGAAAAAUUAGCGGAUGACCUGUGGCUGGGGGUGAAAGGCCAAUCAAACCGGGAGAUAGCUGGUUCUCCCCGAAAGCUAUUUAGGUAGCGCCUCGUGAAUUCAUCUCCGGGGGUAGAGCACUGUUUCGGCUAGGGGGCCAUCCCGGCUUACCAACCCGAUGCAAACUGCGAAUACCGGAGAAUGUUAUCACGGGAGACACACGGCGGGUGCUAACGUCCGUCGUGAAGAGGGAAACAACCCAGACCGCCAGCUAAGGUCCCAAAGUCAUGGUUAAGUGGGAAACGAUGUGGGAAGGCCCAGACAGCCAGGAUGUUGGCUUAGAAGCAGCCAUCAUUUAAAGAAAGCGUAAUAGCUCACUGGUCGAGUCGGCCUGCGCGGAAGAUGUAACGGGGCUAAACCAUGCACCGAAGCUGCGGCAGCGACACUGUGUGUUGUUGGGUAGGGGAGCGUUCUGUAAGCCUGCGAAGGUGUCCCGUGAGGGAUGCUGGAGGUAUCAGAAGUGCGAAUGCUGACAUAAGUAACGAUAAAGCGGGUGAAAAGCCCGCUCGCCGGAAGACCAAGGGUUCCUGUCCAACGUUAAUCGGGGCAGGGUGAGUCGACCCCUAAGGCGAGGCCGAAAGGCGUAGUCGAUGGGAAACGGGUUAAUAUUCCCGUACUUGGUGUUACUGCGAAGGGGGGACGGAGAAGGCUAUGUUGGCCGGGCGACGGUUGUCCCGGUUUAAGCGUGUAGGUGUGUGUUCCAGGUAAAUCCGGUUCACUUUAACACUGAGGCGUGACGACGAGGCACUACGGUGCUGAAGCAACAAAUGCCCUGCUUCCAGGAAAAGCCUCUAAGCAUCAGGUAACAUCAAAUCGUACCCCAAACCGACACAGGUGGUCAGGUAGAGAAUACCAAGGCGCUUGAGAGAACUCGGGUGAAGGAACUAGGCAAAAUGGUGCCGUAACUUCGGGAGAAGGCACGCUGACACGUAGGUGAAGUGAUUUACUCAUGGAGCUGAAGUCAGUCGAAGAUACCAGCUGGCUGCAACUGUUUAUUAAAAACACAGCACUGUGCAAACACGAAAGUGGACGUAUACGGUGUGACGCCUGCCCGGUGCCGGAAGGUUAAUUGAUGGGGUCAGCGCAAGCGAAGCUCCUGAUCGAAGCCCCGGUAAACGGCGGCCGUAACUAUAACGGUCCUAAGGUAGCGAAAUUCCUUGUCGGGUAAGUUCCGACCUGCACGAAUGGCGUAAUGAUGGCCAGGCUGUCUCCACCCGAGACUCAGUGAAAUUGAACUCGCUGUGAAGAUGCAGUGUACCCGCGGCAAGACGGAAAGACCCCGUGAACCUUUACUAUAGCUUGACACUGAACAUUGAGCCUUGAUGUGUAGGAUAGGUGGGAGGCUUUGAAGUGUGGACGCCAGUCUGCAUGGAGCCGACCUUGAAAUACCACCCUUUAAUGUUUGAUGUUCUAACGUGGACCCGUAAUCCGGGUUGCGGACAGUGUCUGGUGGGUAGUUUGACUGGGGCGGUCUCCUCCUAAAGAGUAACGGAGGAGCACGAAGGUUGGCUAAUCCUGGUCGGACAUCAGGAGGUUAGUGCAAUGGCAUAAGCCAGCUUGACUGCGAGCGUGACGGCGCGAGCAGGUGCGAAAGCAGGUCAUAGUGAUCCGGUGGUUCUGAAUGGAAGGGCCAUCGCUCAACGGAUAAAAGGUACUCCGGGGAUAACAGGCUGAUACCGCCCAAGAGUUCAUAUCGACGGCGGUGUUUGGCACCUCGAUGUCGGCUCAUCACAUCCUGGGGCUGAAGUAGGUCCCAAGGGUAUGGCUGUUCGCCAUUUAAAGUGGUACGCGAGCUGGGUUUAGAACGUCGUGAGACAGUUCGGUCCCUAUCUGCCGUGGGCGCUGGAGAACUGAGGGGGGCUGCUCCUAGUACGAGAGGACCGGAGUGGACGCAUCACUGGUGUUCGGGUUGUCAUGCCAAUGGCACUGCCCGGUAGCUAAAUGCGGAAGAGAUAAGUGCUGAAAGCAUCUAAGCACGAAACUUGCCCCGAGAUGAGUUCUCCCUGAGACUUAGAGUCUCCUGAAGGAACGUUGAAGACGACGACGUUGAUAGGCCGGGUGUGUAAGCGCAGCGAUGCGUUGAGCUAACCGGUACUAAUGAACCGUGAGGCUUAACCUU
This 2907-nucleotide ribosomal RNA is filed under the name Salmonella enterica subsp. enterica serovar Kentucky. RNAcentral's name for it is "23S ribosomal RNA". It matches the Rfam family "Bacterial large subunit ribosomal RNA". The record is from RNAcentral. Lineage: Bacteria; Pseudomonadati; Pseudomonadota; Gammaproteobacteria; Enterobacterales; Enterobacteriaceae.